GGCUACGUAGCUCAGUUGGUAGAGCAUCGGACUGAAAAUCCGUGUGUCACUGGUUCAAAUCCCGUCGUAGCCACCA
This 76-nucleotide transfer RNA is filed under the name Rickettsiales bacterium. Its description in RNAcentral is "tRNA-Phe". It matches the Rfam family "tRNA". Rfam says of the family: Transfer RNA (tRNA) molecules are approximately 80 nucleotides in length. The record is from RNAcentral. Lineage: Bacteria; Pseudomonadati; Pseudomonadota; Alphaproteobacteria; Rickettsiales.